AAGAAAGAAAAAGUGUAGAAUAAUCAUGCUAAAAGACAAAAGAGAAAAGCAAAAAACAAAAGGAAAUAAGAAUAUGGGACAAGCCCAACCGGUCUUCCCUUCUCUUUUUUCUUUCACUUUUCUUUCUUUCUCUCCCUCUCUCCUCACAUGCACGCACUUCUCUCCCUCCCACUUCUUCUCUCUCUUCCUUUUCUCCUUCUUUUUCUCUUUUCCCCUUUUCUCUCCCCCUGUUUCACGGCAGCAGCAGCCCCCACCAAUUCUUUUCUCUUCUUCCUCCCUUCUCCCUUGUCACGCACGCACAGCAGCUCAUUUCUUUUCCUUUCCUUUCCUUCUUCCUCUCUUCGUCUCUACCACGCCCACACACGCACAGUGAGCCCAUGUGAGAGACGAACCCGUGAGAGUGAGAGAGACCUGGAACUCAUUUCCGGUGGGUGUCGCCGGUGAUCAGUGGCGCGAUUUCCGGCCAUGCUUUGGAUCAUGUUCGGAUUGGAGACUUUAAUUGGUUCUCCAAUGUAGAGUCCAAGUGACUAGAGUCCAAGGAGUGUUCAAGUUGGAGUCCAAUGCAGCAAGAUGAUGUUUCUUUGGCUGCAGGUACUUCGGUAUAGUCGAUGGGUCGAUAGCAGUGUGCUUGGGAUAUUAUGACUGAAGCUCGCCGCGACAGUUAUAAUGGUCGGACCACGGGUUGUCCACUAUUUUAUAGGUUUGGAUCAUGUUCGGAUUGGAGACUUUAAUUGGUUCUCCAAUGUAGAGCCCAAGUGACUAGAGUCCAAGGAGUGUUCGAGUUGGAGUCCAAUGCAGCCAAGAUGAUGUUUCUUUGGCUGCAGGUACUUCGGUAUAGUCGAUGGGUCGGUAGCAGUGUGCUUGGGAUAUUAUGACUGAAGCUCGCCGCGACAGUUGUAAUUGUCGGACCACGAGUUGUCCACUAUUUUAUAGGUUUGGUAUGGCUUGUGACGUUUGUGUCACUUAUUCUUUGUUAAGCCAUUAUUAUUAUAGUGUUAAUAAGACUCAAACAAAUAGAUGUUAAAUGGCUCUUUGUUGUAAUUAACUUGUGAUAGAUGUAUAAGUUGUAAUUUCUACUA
This is a long non-coding RNA of Alnus glutinosa, 1079 nucleotides long. RefSeq lists it as uncharacterized. The transcript is spliced from 5 exons. The record is from RefSeq and is a predicted model, not a curated record. NCBI's taxonomy places the organism in Eukaryota, Viridiplantae, Streptophyta, Magnoliopsida, Fagales, Betulaceae.